This 514-nucleotide ribosomal RNA is filed under the name uncultured bacterium. RNAcentral describes it as "partial 16S ribosomal RNA". It matches the Rfam family "Bacterial small subunit ribosomal RNA", at positions 28 to 523 of the family's 1533-position model. The record is from RNAcentral.
GAUGAACGCUGGCGGCGUGCCUAAUACAUGCAAGUCGAGCGCGAGAAUGAGGAGCUUGCUCCUCAUAAUCGAGCGGCGGACGGGUGAGUAACACGUAGGCAACCUACCCUUGAGAUUGGGAUAACUACCGGAAACGGUAGCUAAUACCGGAUACGGCUUUUCCACACAAGUGGAAUUGUUAAAAGGCGGAUUUAUCUGCCGCUCAUGGAUGGGCCUGCGGUGCAUUAGCUAGUUGGUGAGGUAGUGGCUCACCAAGGCGACGAGGCAUAGCCGACCUGAGAGGGUGAUCGGCCACACUGGGACUGAGACACGGCCCAGACUCCUACGGGAGGCAGCAGUAGGGAAUCUUCCGCAAUGGACGCAAGUCUGACGGAGCAACGCCGCGUGAGUGAUGAAGGGUUUCGGCUCGUAAAACUCUGUUGUUAAGGAAGAACACUUGAGGUAGUAACUGGCCUUGAGAUGACGGUACUUAACCAGAAAGCCACGGCUAACUACGUGCCAGCAGCCGCAGUAA